This 644-nucleotide small RNA is filed under the name Pongo abelii (Sumatran orangutan). RNAcentral's name for it is "processed transcript". The record is from RNAcentral. Lineage: Eukaryota; Metazoa; Chordata; Mammalia; Primates; Hominidae.
GCUCAGAGCGCCCAGUCCGACGCCAGGCUCUGAACCCCUUCCACAAGGCUCUGCGCUCGGUCCCCUCUGCUCCACCUCCUCCCCGCGGGGCGUGCAGCUCAGACGCUCUUUGGAUCUAGCAGGCUCGGUGGCUGGGAGGUGCCAUUCACAUCAAAUGUAGCCAUUUUAGAGGUGUCAAAAUAAAUCAGCCAUAUUUAAUAAAUUCCAGCUCUACUCUUCUACCCUGUAGCCCAAGAAGCAGCAACGAUGGGGUCAAAGGAUCAUGCAGUAUUUUUCAGGGAAAUGACACAGUUAAUUUUGAAUGAAAUGCCAAAAGCUGGGUAUUCCAGCAUAUUAAAUGAUUUUGUGGAAUCUAAUUUUUUUGUGAUUGAUGGAGAUUCCUUGCUUGUCACGUGCCUGGGUGUAAAAUCAUUCAAGUGGGGACAGAAUCUCCACUUUUUCUAUCUGGUUGAAUGCUAUCUUGUGGAUCUUAUGAGUAAUGGAGGACAAUUCGCCAUAGUUUUCUUCAAGAUGGAGUUUCGCUCUUUUUGCACAGGCUGGAGUGCAAUGCCGUGAUCUCGGCUCACUGCAACCUCCACCUCCUGGGUUCAAGUGAUUCUACUCUCUCAGCCUCCCAAGUAGCUGGGAUUACAGGUGCAUGCCAC